CACGUAGGGUGCAAGCGUUGUCCGGAAUUAUUGGGCGUAAAGGGCUCGUAGGCGGUCCGUCACGUCGGGAGUGAAAACUCGGGGCUCAACCCUGGGCGUGCAUCCGAUACUGCCGGGCUUGAGGCAGGUAGGGGAGAUCGGAAUUCCUGGUGUAGCGGUGAAAUGCGCAGAUAUCAGGAAGAACACCGGUGGCGAAAGCGUUCUGCUAGACCUGUACUGACACUGAGGGACGAAAGCUAGGGGAGCGAAUGGG
This 253-nucleotide ribosomal RNA is filed under the name uncultured bacterium. RNAcentral describes it as "partial 16S ribosomal RNA". It matches the Rfam family "Bacterial small subunit ribosomal RNA", at positions 524 to 776 of the family's 1533-position model. The record is from RNAcentral.